UUCCGCUGGAUGAGGCCUCUCCAGUGCCGA
This 30-nucleotide small RNA is filed under the name Bombyx mori (domestic silkworm). RNAcentral's name for it is "ovarian small RNA-37211". The record is from RNAcentral. Lineage: Eukaryota; Metazoa; Arthropoda; Insecta; Lepidoptera; Bombycidae.